GCUCGGGUGGCGGAAUUGGUAGACGCGCAGGAUUCAGGAUCCUGUGGGGGCAACCCCGUGAGGGUUCGAGUCCCUCCCCGAGCA
RNAcentral lists this transfer RNA (84 nucleotides) under Gemmatimonadota bacterium. RNAcentral's name for it is "Gemmatimonadetes bacterium (beach sand metagenome) tRNA-Leu". It matches the Rfam family "tRNA". From Rfam's summary of the family: Transfer RNA (tRNA) molecules are approximately 80 nucleotides in length. Lineage: Bacteria; Pseudomonadati; Gemmatimonadota. The record is from RNAcentral. RNAcentral also lists the same sequence under 4 other names.